Manis javanica (Malayan pangolin) is the source of this 104-nucleotide small nuclear RNA. NCBI's taxonomy places the organism in Eukaryota, Metazoa, Chordata, Mammalia, Pholidota, Manidae. The record is from RefSeq and is a predicted model, not a curated record.
GGGCUUACUUCAGCAGCACAUAUACAAAAACUGGAACAGUAUGGAGGUUCGUAUGGCCCCUGUGCAAGGAUGACCCAAAAACUCACGAAACAUUCUAGGUUUUU